This 349-nucleotide unclassified non-coding RNA is filed under the name soil metagenome. RNAcentral's name for it is "partial contains 5.8S ribosomal RNA, internal transcribed spacer 2, and large subunit ribosomal RNA". The stretch from base 1 to 119 matches the Rfam family "5.8S ribosomal RNA", at positions 35 to 154 of the family's 154-position model. The record is from RNAcentral.
GAUGAAGAACGCAGCGAAAUGCGAUAAGUAAUGCGAAUUGCAGAAUCCGUGAGUCAUCGAAUCUUUGAGCGCACAUUGCGCCCUCUGGUAUUCCGGAGGGCAUGCCUGUUCGAGCGUCAUUAUCACCCCUCAAGCCCGGCUUGUUGUUGGAUGCAGCGCUUAUCCCGCUCCUCCCAAAGAUAAUGACGGCGUCUGUGACGACUCCUGUACACUGAGCUUUCGGGCACGUACACGGCUAGAAGUCCAGACCCGGUCGCCGUCCCCCCCGCGGGGACACCCAUUACCACAAGGUUGACCUCGGAUCAGGUAGGAAUACCCGCUGAACUUAAGCAUAUCAAUAAGCGGAGGA